UGGGGAAUAUUGCACAAUGGGGGAAACCCGUGAUGCAGCGACGCCGCGUGAGCUAUGAAGUAUUUCGGUAUGUAAAGCUCUAUCAGCAGGGAAGAAUUAAGACGGUACCUGACUAAGAAGCACCGGCUAAAUACGUGCC
RNAcentral lists this ribosomal RNA (139 nucleotides) under uncultured bacterium. Its description in RNAcentral is "partial 16S ribosomal RNA". It matches the Rfam family "Bacterial small subunit ribosomal RNA", at positions 355 to 509 of the family's 1533-position model. The record is from RNAcentral.